This 231-nucleotide ribosomal RNA is filed under the name uncultured bacterium. RNAcentral describes it as "partial 16S ribosomal RNA". It matches the Rfam family "Bacterial small subunit ribosomal RNA", at positions 524 to 755 of the family's 1533-position model. The record is from RNAcentral.
UACGGAGGGGCGAGCGUUGUUCGGAAUUACUGGGCGUAAAGGGCGCGUAGGCGGCCCAUCAAGUUAGGCGUGAAAGCCCCGGGCUCAACCUGGGAAUUGCGUUUAAGACUGGUGAGCUAGAGUACGAGAGAGGAAAGUGGAAUUCCUAGUGUAGAGGUGAAAUUCGUAGAUAUUAGGAAGAACACCGGUGGCGAAGGCGACUUUCUGGCUCGUAACUGACGCUGAGGCGCG